UACGUAGGUCGCAAGCGUUGUCCGGAUUUACUGGGCGUAAAGAGCGCGCAGGCGGCUGGUCAAGUCCGAUGUGAAAUCUCCCGGCUCAACUGGGAAACUGCAUCGGAAACUGAUCGGCUUGAAGAUGGGAGAGGGUAGUGGAAUUCCCGGCGUAGUGGUGAAAUGCGUAGAUAUCGGGAGGAACAUCAGUGGCGAAGGCGGCCUGCUGGGCUGUUGCUGACGCUGAGGCGCGACAGCGUGGGGAGCAAACAGG
Molecule: ribosomal RNA, 253 nt
Filed under: uncultured bacterium
Lineage: Bacteria
Description: partial 16S ribosomal RNA
Rfam family: Bacterial small subunit ribosomal RNA
Source: RNAcentral